CCUACGGGAGGCAGCAGUGGGGAAUAUUGGGCAAUGGAGGAAACUCUGACCCAGCAACGCCGCGUGAAUGAUGAAGGCCUUCGGAUUGUAAAGUUCUUUUCUUAGGGAAGAAGAAAGUGACGGUACCUUAGGAAUAAGCCUCGGCUAACUACGUGCCAGCAGCCGCGGUAAUACGUAGGCGGCAAGCGUUAUCCGGAAUGACUGGGUGUAAAGGGUGCGUAGGUGGUUUUACAAGUUAGUUGCGAAAGCCCGAGGCUUAACCGUGGCACUGCUACUAAAACUGUUGGUCUCGAGUGCAGGAGAGGCAGGUGGAAUUCCUGGUGUAGCGGUGAAAUGCGUAGAUAUUAGGAGGAACACCAGUGGCGAAGGCGGUUUGCUGGACUGUAACUGACGCUGAGGCACGAAAGCGUGGGGAGCAAACAGGAUUAGAUACCCUUGUAGUC
This 443-nucleotide ribosomal RNA is filed under the name uncultured bacterium. RNAcentral's name for it is "partial 16S ribosomal RNA". It matches the Rfam family "Bacterial small subunit ribosomal RNA", at positions 338 to 795 of the family's 1533-position model. The record is from RNAcentral.